RNAcentral lists this ribosomal RNA (1532 nucleotides) under Escherichia coli. Its description in RNAcentral is "bacterial SSU rRNA". It matches the Rfam family "Bacterial small subunit ribosomal RNA". Lineage: Bacteria; Pseudomonadati; Pseudomonadota; Gammaproteobacteria; Enterobacterales; Enterobacteriaceae. The record is from RNAcentral.
AGAGUUUGAUCAUGGCUCAGAUUGAACGCUGGCGGCAGGCCUAACACAUGCAAGUCGAACGGUAACAGGAAGCAGCUUGCUGCUUCGCUGACGAGUGGCGGACGGGUGAGUAAUGUCUGGGAAACUGCCUGAUGGAGGGGGAUAACUACUGGAAACGGUAGCUAAUACCGCAUAAUGUCGCAAGACCAAAGAGGGGGACCUUCGGGCCUCUUGCCAUCGGAUGUGCCCAGAUGGGAUUAGCUUGUUGGUGGGGUAACGGCUCACCAAGGCGACGAUCCCUAGCUGGUCUGAGAGGAUGACCAGCCACACUGGAACUGAGACACGGUCCAGACUCCUACGGGAGGCAGCAGUGGGGAAUAUUGCACAAUGGGCGCAAGCCUGAUGCAGCCAUGCCGCGUGUAUGAAGAAGGCCUUCGGGUUGUAAAGUACUUUCAGCGGGGAGGAAGGGAGUAAAGUUAAUACCUUUGCUCAUUGACGUUACCCGCAGAAGAAGCACCGGCUAACUCCGUGCCAGCAGCCGCGGUAAUACGGAGGGUGCAAGCGUUAAUCGGAAUUACUGGGCGUAAAGCGCACGCAGGCGGUUUGUUAAGUCAGAUGUGAAAUCCCCGGGCUCAACCUGGGAACUGCAUCUGAUACUGGCAAGCUUGAGUCUCGUAGAGGGGGGGUAGAAUUCCAGGUGUAGCGGUGAAAUGCGUAGAGAUCUGGAGGAAUACCGGUGGCGAAGGCGGCCCCCCUGGACGAAGACUGACGCUCAGGUGCGAAAGCGUGGGGAGCAAACAGGAUUAGAUACCCUGGUAGUCCACGCCGUAAACGAUGUCGACUUGGAGGUUGUGCCCUUGAGGCGUGGCUUCCGGAGCUAACGCGUUAAGUCGACCGCCUGGGGAGUACGGCCGCAAGGUUAAAACUCAAAUGAAUUGACGGGGGCCCGCACAAGCGGUGGAGCAUGUGGUUUAAUUCGAUGCAACGCGAAGAACCUUACCUGGUCUUGACAUCCACGGAAGUUUUCAGAGAUGAGAAUGUGCCUUCGGGAACCGUGAGACAGGUGCUGCAUGGCUGUCGUCAGCUCGUGUUGUGAAAUGUUGGGUUAAGUCCCGCAACGAGCGCAACCCUUAUCCUUUGUUGCCAGCGGUCCGGCCGGGAACUCAAAGGAGACUGCCAGUGAUAAACUGGAGGAAGGUGGGGAUGACGUCAAGUCAUCAUGGCCCUUACGACCAGGGCUACACACGUGCUACAAUGGCGCAUACAAAGAGAAGCGACCUCGCGAGAGCAAGCGGACCUCAUAAAGUGCGUCGUAGUCCGGAUUGGAGUCUGCAACUCGACUCCAUGAAGUCGGAAUCGCUAGUAAUCGUGGAUCAGAAUGCCACGGUGAAUACGUUCCCGGGCCUUGUACACACCGCCCGUCACACCAUGGGAGUGGGUUGCAAAAGAAGUAGGUAGCUUAACCUUCGGGAGGGCGCUUACCACUUUGUGAUUCAUGACUGGGGUGAAGUCGUAACAAGGUAACCGUAGGGGAACCUGCGGUUGGAUCACCU